This 301-nucleotide ribosomal RNA is filed under the name uncultured bacterium. Its description in RNAcentral is "partial 16S ribosomal RNA". It matches the Rfam family "Bacterial small subunit ribosomal RNA", at positions 509 to 809 of the family's 1533-position model. The record is from RNAcentral.
CAGUAGCCGCGGGAAUACGGAGGGUGCAAGCGUUAAUCGGAAUUACUGGGCGUAAAGCGCACGCAGGCGGUUUGUUAAGUCGGAUGUGAAAUCCCUGAGCUUAACUUAGGAAUUGCAUUCGAUACUGGGAAGCUAGAGUAUGGGAGAGGAUGGUAGAAUUCCAGGUGUAGCGGUGAAAUGCGUAGAGAUCUGGAGGAAUACCGAUGGCGAAGGCAGCCAUCUGGCCUAAUACUGACGCUGAGGUACGAAAGCAUGGGGAGCAAACAGGAUUAGAUACCCCAGUAGUCCCUGUCUCUUAUAA